This is a non-coding RNA of Equus caballus (horse), 1938 nucleotides long. The record is from RefSeq and is a predicted model, not a curated record. NCBI's taxonomy places the organism in Eukaryota, Metazoa, Chordata, Mammalia, Perissodactyla, Equidae.
CCCAGCCCAACUUCCUGAGAGUGAUCACUAUCCUGAAUUGUGGACUUCUUGUUCCUUUGCUUUUCCUGAGAGUUUUGUCAAAUUAUCUGUGUUUUCCUAAACAGUACAUUGUUCAUGUUUGGUAUAAAUGGGAGCAUAUCCUAUGAGUUCUUCUGUCACUCAAUCACACCGAGAUGUGUACCUUUGGUUGACUCGGUGCUUACUGCUGUGUGCUGAGUCCUAGUGUCAAUAAACUAUGGUUUACUCCUCCACCCUCUCGCCGUGGAGCCGCUUCCUCUUUGUGAUUCUGUCGUUGUUGCUCUGUGUUUGCUUCUCUCUUGGCGACUACAAAUCAAUGGACAUGUUUGUACUGGACUCUUCACACAUGUGUAAGAAAUUCCCUGAAGAGUAAAGGCAAGAGAGGAGUUGCUUGUUUGUAAGGGAGCUGUAUCUUCGACUUUGGAGAGAAUUCUGAAUAGUUUUCCAAAUAGAUCAUAAGAUGUAAACAGUCGCCAAGAAUCACGUGGGUUGUUUCAUUCUAUGUUCUUACCAAGACUCGAUAUUAGCACAGUUUUAAAUACAAACGGUAUCUUUUGUAGUUAAAUGUAUGAAGAUUUAUUUUACGGUGGUGCUCUUGUGUCUUGUUUAUAAACUCUCCCUCUACCCAAGGUCACAUAGAUUUUCUCCUAUAUUAUCUUCUAAAAUUUGAUGGUUCUUUUUCAAAUUUGAGUCUUUAAUCUAACCAGAAUUGAUUUUUGUAUUUAGAGAGAGAGAAAUCUAACUUUUUUCUCCGAUAUAGAUAGUGUUUUAUCUGGUACCAUUAAUUGGUAGUCUCUUCUUUACCCAGUGAUUUGCUUGGCACAUUCUAUGUAUUGAGUGUCCAUGUAUUUCUGAGUCUGUUUCUUCUAUUUCUAUUCUAAUUUCAUUGGUCCGUUUGUCCCCAGAUUGACACUACGCUUCUGUUAGUGCUUUAUAUGAGGAUCUUGAUGUCCAGUAGGUCAUGGCCCUCACUUUCUGAUUUUUUUCCCCUCAGGAGCAUUUUGGCUUUUCUUAACUUUUCCUCCUUCAUAAAAAUUUUAGAAUCAAAUUUAGAAUUUUAGAAUCAGUUUGCCAAGUUGCACAAAAGUCUUGGUAAGAUUUUCACAGGAGUAGAUAAAUUUGAGAAAAGCUGAUAGUUUUAAACUUUCGAGUCGUUCUAGUCACAAACAGUGCAUCUUCCCACUGGUUUAGGUCUUCUUUAAUGCUUUUAAAUUAAAUUUUGUAAUUUUUCCCUUAAGUCUUAAAAAUCUCUUAUACAUCCUCUUAUAUGUAUGUACGUGGAUAGAUACUAUUUUGUUAUUUUAAUUAUAUCAUUUUUAAUAUUAAAUUAUCUAACUCUUGUUACUAAUCCACAGAUAUGCAACGGAAUUUUAUACGAUGAUAUUGUUUUGAUCAACUUUGCAAAACUCCCUGUUGAAGUCUAGUAGUUUUGGGUACAUUCUUCGCAUUUUGUGUGGAAACAAUCGGUAUACGUGUGCAUGAUGGUGGAGUCAUAUUCUUCAUUUUCUACACUCAUGCAUUUAUGCCGUCUUGUCUUGGACUUCUAGGAAAUCAUGGAAAGAAAGCGGCUAUGGUCCUACCAGACUUGGCUCCAUCUCUGCUGCGUGACAAUUCUCUCCAGGACCCAGGCUAACAAAGAAGACACUACAUAGGAUAUUGCCAGUCGUCCCAGAGAAAAGAAAGAGGGGGCUGGGAGUCUCACUGAGAAUUAGAUGCUUAGCCCAGAAGAGGUGCUGUCAGCUCCCUGCACCAAUCACUGGCAGAGUCGUUCCCCUAGCGAUCCAGCAAGCAUGUUCUUACCACGAGCCAGGAAGUCAGAGAGUGGGAAAAGUUCAAUGAUCAGCACUGAUGAAUAACAUAUCAUCUUUUGUCGUUUCCUUUUAUUUUUUGUCUUAAAAUUGUACUUGCUUAUUUCCUGCA